Molecule: ribosomal RNA, 222 nt
Filed under: Triticum aestivum (bread wheat)
Lineage: Eukaryota; Viridiplantae; Streptophyta; Magnoliopsida; Poales; Poaceae
Description: partial small subunit ribosomal RNA
Source: RNAcentral
AUGAAUGUGUUAAGCUGGAACUGCCGGGGAGGGGGGAACACCCGGACAGUUCGUGAGAUAGCGACGCUUGUGAAGUCGCAUUCCCCCAGUCUGGUGUUUCUGUGUGAAACUAGGCAAAAGGAAGAGAGGAUGAAGAGAUUAAGAGGCCGGCUUGGCCUGAAAGGUCUUGAGUGCGUGGACUGUAAUGGACUAAGUGGUGGUCUUGCAUUAUUUUGGCAUGAA